AUGAGCUCUGGUCAGCGAAAGCGCCCUGGAGAGGUGCUGGAUUCUACCCCAGCUCAGAAACGGAGCAGGCUGCUGGCCUCCAGAGCAGGUGGAACUUGGCAGCCAGAGCCAGUAGAUCGUGAGGAAAGUGCAUCACCUGCUUUAGAGCCUGAAGUCAUAGAUCUCACAGGAGAUUCUCCACAGCCUGAAGUCAUCACUACCACUGACGAUGAAUCUCCUGUGGUAAGUAGUGACAGGCACACUCCUCUCCAUGUUGCAUCCAUAGGAAUUUUCCUGCCCUCUGCAAUUUUACUAAGUCCCCUGGCCUCAAAAUUUGAACAAUGGCUCUGAUUUACCACUUUAGACACAGUUCCCAGUCAACCCCAACCACACUCCCAAACACAUCAGCAUGCCUGAGAAUCAGUUGCAGAGAGUGAACAAGCUAAAAGAGGUUGUUGCUUCAGUGAUUCAAAAGAGAGCACAGGAAGUCUUUGAUUUGAAGAAGUGCUUUAGCUGCAGCAUCAGUUUAAGGUCCCCCUGUCCCUGAGGUGUAAAAAGCAACUGCAGCUGACUGGGGUACACACUAAUUCUGUUUCUUAUUCCUCUAAGUCUUUAAAAGGGGCACAUUUGGGAUUUUUUCUUUUUCCCCUACUAUUUUCAAAGAAUAUACUUUGAUCCAUUUUGCAAGCCUCAGAGCAGUGUGUCUGCUGAAAUAUCUGAUGCCUCUACUGCUGUGCAAAGCAGACACUUGCAGCAAACAUUGCAUGGCACUUAUAUCCUGACAGGGUUGUUCCUGAACCCAUGCAAAGCAAAGGCCUCCAAUUUCACAACACACUUUGCAUGACUCACCUCCACUUACACUAAACACAAGAGCAGGUUUGGGUUGAGGGGUUCUUUUCUCUUCAGUAGCUGCUCCUCUAAAAAGUAGUGCUCAGGCUAUCACAGGUGAACUUGCCAGUUGGAGGGAGAAAGAGGCAAAGAAACAGCUCUGGCCCAAAUCCAAUUAGGGAACUGAAAUGGGGGAGCAGGAAGGGUCAAGUUCCACUGCUUCCUAAGUGUGUCCAUUUCUACCCCGUUCUACCCCUGCAGCAGAGCCCCCAGCAGCCACGUCUUUCCAGGGCCUCGGAGAAUUCACCUGAGCCACUGGAAAGGAACAAUAGAGAGGAGCCAGGAGAAGAUGAUGGGUAUGUGAGAGAGAAAGUGUCUAUUGAAACUCUGAUUUCAUAUAUGUGGUAGAAAGAGGUUUUUGCCAAGCUGUUGGGUUCUGCAGAACUCUGUGCAAAUACUUCCAACUGGGAAUAUAGUGGUCUGCCUGGAGGAGAAUUAAAAUAAACCCAUCAAAAUCCAGCA
RNAcentral lists this long non-coding RNA (1329 nucleotides) under Cyanistes caeruleus (blue tit). RNAcentral describes it as "lncRNA (ENSCCEG00000007811.1)". Lineage: Eukaryota; Metazoa; Chordata; Aves; Passeriformes; Paridae. The record is from RNAcentral.